This 87-nucleotide transfer RNA is filed under the name Niastella sp. SCN 39-18. RNAcentral's name for it is "tRNA-Leu". It matches the Rfam family "tRNA". Rfam says of the family: Transfer RNA (tRNA) molecules are approximately 80 nucleotides in length. Their secondary structure includes four short double-helical elements and three loops (D, anti-codon, and T loops). Lineage: Bacteria; Pseudomonadati; Bacteroidota; Chitinophagia; Chitinophagales; Chitinophagaceae. The record is from RNAcentral. RNAcentral also lists the same sequence under 1 other name.
GCGGCGAUGGCGAAAUUGGUAGACGCACUACUUUGAGGUGGUAGCGCCCGAAAGGGCGUGGGAGUUCGAAUCUCCUUUGCCGCACCG